AUACUUACCUGGCAGUGACAAAACCAGGAUCAGGCAGGUGCUUUUCCCAGGUGAGACUUGUCCAUUGCACUUGGGAUUUGUUGACCCCUGCGAUCUCCCCAAAUGUGGGAAAUUUGACUGCAUGAUUUGUGUUAGUGGGGGACUGUGUGCAUGCUUUCUCCUG
This is a small nuclear RNA of Erinaceus europaeus (western European hedgehog), 163 nucleotides long. Its record names the gene U1. It matches the Rfam family "U1 spliceosomal RNA". Rfam says of the family: U1 is a small nuclear RNA (snRNA) component of the spliceosome (involved in pre-mRNA splicing). Its 5' end forms complementary base pairs with the 5' splice junction, thus defining the 5' donor site of an intron. The record is from Ensembl. NCBI's taxonomy places the organism in Eukaryota, Metazoa, Chordata, Mammalia, Eulipotyphla, Erinaceidae.